This is a non-coding RNA of Atractiella rhizophila, 80 nucleotides long. The record is from the annotation of a GenBank genome assembly. NCBI's taxonomy places the organism in Eukaryota, Fungi, Basidiomycota, Atractiellomycetes, Atractiellales, Hoehnelomycetaceae.
GAAGCAGUGGCCGAGUGGUCUAAGGCGGAGGAUUUAAGUCCCUCUACGAAAGUGCGUGGGUUCGAACCCCACCUGCUUCA